RNAcentral lists this transfer RNA (73 nucleotides) under Camelus bactrianus (Bactrian camel). It matches the Rfam family "tRNA". From Rfam's summary of the family: Transfer RNA (tRNA) molecules are approximately 80 nucleotides in length. Their secondary structure includes four short double-helical elements and three loops (D, anti-codon, and T loops). Further hydrogen bonds mediate the characteristic L-shaped molecular structure. tRNAs have two regions of fundamental functional importance: the anti-codon, which is responsible for specific mRNA codon recognition, and the 3' end, to which the tRNAs corresponding amino acid is attached (by aminoacyl-tRNA synthetases). tRNAs cope with the degeneracy of the genetic code in two manners: having more than one tRNA (with a specific anti-codon) for a particular amino acid; and 'wobble' base-pairing, i.e. permitting non-standard base-pairing at the 3rd anti-codon position. The record is from Rfam by way of RNAcentral. RNAcentral also lists the same sequence under 2 other names. Lineage: Eukaryota; Metazoa; Chordata; Mammalia; Artiodactyla; Camelidae.
UAAGGUAUAGCUCAAUAGGCAGAGUGUGUGCUUAGCAUGCACAAGGUCCUGGGUUCAAUCCCCAGUACCUCCA